RNAcentral lists this ribosomal RNA (253 nucleotides) under uncultured bacterium. RNAcentral's name for it is "partial 16S ribosomal RNA". It matches the Rfam family "Bacterial small subunit ribosomal RNA", at positions 524 to 776 of the family's 1533-position model. RNAcentral also lists the same sequence under 1 other name. The record is from RNAcentral.
GACAGAGGUCUCAAGCGUUAGGCGGAAUCACUGGGCUUAAAGCGUGUGUAGGCGGAUGCCUAAGUACCUUGUGAAAUCCCACGGCUUAACCGUGGAACUGCUUGGUAUACUGGGUGUCUUGAGCCAGCUAGGGGCGACCGGAACAAACGGUGGAGCGGUGAAAUGCGUAGAUAUCGUUUGGAACGCCAAUGGUGAAAACAGGUCGCUGGGGCUGUGCUGACGCUGAGACACGAAAGCCAGGGGAGCAAACGGG